This 420-nucleotide ribosomal RNA is filed under the name uncultured prokaryote. Its description in RNAcentral is "bacterial SSU rRNA". It matches the Rfam family "Bacterial small subunit ribosomal RNA", at positions 355 to 774 of the family's 1533-position model. The record is from RNAcentral.
UAAGGAAUAUUGCUCAAUGGGCGAAAUCCUGAAGCAGCAACGCCGCGUGGAGGAUGAAGGGCUUUCAGCUUGUAAACUCCUGUAAAGAAGAAAAAAAUUCCCAUUAGAUGGGAAAUGAUGGUACUUCUAAAGUAACCCCCGGCUAACUACGUGCCAGCAGCCGCGGUAAUACGCAGGGGGCAAGCGUUGUCCGGAUUUACUGGGUGUAAAGGGUGCUCAGGCGGAUUUGUAAGUCAGAGGUGAAAUCUCACAGCUUAACUGUGAAACUGCCUUUAAUACUGCAAGUCUAGAGUAUGGAAGAGAGUGAUGGAAUGUCUGGUGUAGCAGUGAAAUGCGUAGAUAUCAGAUAGAACACCAAUGGCGAAGGCAGUCACUUGGUCCAUUACUGACGCUAAAGCACGAAAGCGUGGGUAGCAAACA